Molecule: microRNA precursor, 52 nt
Filed under: Marmota monax (woodchuck)
Lineage: Eukaryota; Metazoa; Chordata; Mammalia; Rodentia; Sciuridae
Source: RNAcentral
GUUCUAGUAUAAGUGUGUCCCACAUAUUGCCUGGGACAUGCUUAUGCUAAAA